UGGGGAAUAUUGCACAAUGGGCGAAAGCCUGAUGCAGCGACGCCGCGUGAGGGAUGACGGCCUUCGGGUUGUAAACCUCUUUCAGCAGGGACGAAGCGCAAGUGACGGUACCUGCAGAAGAAGCACCGGCUAACUACGUGCCCGCAGCCGCGGUAAUACGUAGGGUGCAAGCGUUGUCCGGAAUUACUGGGCGUAAAGAGUUCGUAGGCGGUUUGUCGCGUCGGUUGUGAAAACCAGCAGCUCAACUGCUGGCUUGCAGGCGAUACGGGCAGACUUGAGUACUGCAGGGGAGACUGGAAUUCCUGGUGUAGCGGUGAAAUGCGCAGAGAUCAGGAGGAACACCGGUGGCGAAGGCGGGUCUCUGGGCAGUAACUGACGCUGAGGAACGAAAGCGUGGGUAGCGAACAGG
This 409-nucleotide ribosomal RNA is filed under the name Actinomycetes bacterium. RNAcentral's name for it is "Actinobacteria bacterium partial 16S ribosomal RNA". It matches the Rfam family "Bacterial small subunit ribosomal RNA", at positions 355 to 776 of the family's 1533-position model. The record is from RNAcentral. Lineage: Bacteria; Bacillati; Actinomycetota; Actinomycetes.